This 414-nucleotide ribosomal RNA is filed under the name uncultured bacterium. RNAcentral's name for it is "bacterial SSU rRNA". It matches the Rfam family "Bacterial small subunit ribosomal RNA", at positions 505 to 916 of the family's 1533-position model. The record is from RNAcentral.
GUGCCAGCCGCCGCGGUAAUACGUAGGGUCCGAGCGUUGUCCGGAAUUACUGGGCGUAAAGAGCUCGUAGGUGGUUUGUCGCGUUGUUCGUGAAAACUCACAGCUUAACUGUGGGCGUGCGGGCGAUACGGGCAGACUUGAGUACUGCAGGGGAGACUGGAAUUCCUGGUGUAGCGGUGGAAUGCGCAGAUAUCAGGAGGAACACCGGUGGCGAAGGCGGGUCUCUGGGCAGUAACUGACGCUGAGGAGCGAAAGCGUGGGGAGCGAACAGGAUUAGAUACCCUGGUAGUCCACGCCGUAAACGGUGGGUACUAGGUGUGGGUUUCCUUCCUUGGGAUCCGUGCCGUAGCUAACGCAUUAAGUACCCCGCCUGGGGAGUACGGCCGCAAGGCUAAAACUCAAAUAAAUUGACGG